AGUGAACGCUGGCGGUAGGCCUAACACAUGCAAGUCGAACGGCAGCACAGGAGAGCUUGCUCUCUGGGUGGCGAGUGGCGGACGGGUGGGGAAUACAUCGGAAUCUACUCUGUCGUGGGGGAUAACGUAGGGAAACUUACGCUAAUACCGCAUACGACCUACGGGUGAAAGCAGGGGACCUUCGGGCCUUGCGCGAUUGAAUGAGCCGAUGUCGGAUUAGCUAGUUGGCGGGGUAAAGGCCCACCAAGGCGACGAUCCGUAGCUGGUCUGAGAGGGUGGUCAGCCAGCCUGGAACUGAGACACGGUCCAGACUCCUACGGGAGGCAGCAGUGGGGAAUAUUGGACAAUGGGCGCAAGCCUGAUCCAGCCAUACCGCGUGGGUGAAGAAGGCCUUCGGGUUGUAAAGCCCUUUUGUUGGGAAAGAAAUCCAGCUGGCUAAUACCCGGUUGGGAUGACGGUACCCAAAGAAUAAGCACCGGCUAACUUCGUGCCAGCCGCCGCGGUAA
RNAcentral lists this ribosomal RNA (506 nucleotides) under uncultured bacterium. Its description in RNAcentral is "partial 16S ribosomal RNA". It matches the Rfam family "Bacterial small subunit ribosomal RNA", at positions 29 to 523 of the family's 1533-position model. The record is from RNAcentral.